GACACUUUUAGGACAUCCUAUCUCUGCUAUUGAGUUGUGAGUGAGUGGGCAGAAGCACAGACAUUAUGUAACUGAACUGUUCCUGCCUCAGAGACAGUAAGAGAGCAUCCACACACACAUGAGAGAGAGAGAGAGAGACAGUGGGAAAUAAAUAAAUUAAAAUCUCACCUGACCUGGUUAGGGUGAGUGAAUAAAGAGAUGAAGCUGAAAGGGGAGACAGUGAUUGUUUGUAACAGUGAUGAGACAGUCAGUGCUUUUCUCUCAUUCUGUGUGUGAGUCAUUGUUUGGCUGAGCAGCAGUGUACUGGAAACCACAGAGAAGGACAACAAGAAAACGAGAUGAUGGGGGUUGAAAGGCAGUGUGAGGUGGAGGUACUGAAACAGUCCCAAAAAGAUUUACAGUGGGUCCAAAAACAGCUGUCAACCAUCUCUAACCGAACCAAUGGACCAGGCAGGACCAAAGAUAAGGACAGCAGAAAGAAAAAGGAGAGCGACGGAGAGAGAGAGAAAGAAAACAGGAUCACGGCUUGAUGUCCAGACUCAAAC
Molecule: long non-coding RNA, 545 nt
Filed under: Sinocyclocheilus grahami
Lineage: Eukaryota; Metazoa; Chordata; Actinopteri; Cypriniformes; Cyprinidae
Description: lncRNA (ENSSGRG00000008422.1)
Source: RNAcentral